GUUGGAGUUUAUUGUGAAUUUAAAAAUCAUUAUGAAUGCAUGCAUUUUUCAUGGUCAAAUAUAGACUUCUGAUUUGCCUCUCAUAAACACUUCCGUAUAUAGCCAAAACCUAGAAGAUAGUUCUUUUAAUUUAUAAUCUCCCCUUUCCUCUCAUCAUGCAAGAUGGGCGCCAAACAUCUUCAACAGCUCUGAGAAUUCCUUUCUCUUAUUUUAGGGGGCGGAGAUCCAUGAAAGGACACCAGCAUAGUGGGAUAUAUUUAGCAAGAAUUUUCCUUCUGUGUCCACAGUUUCACAUCUUAAGUAUCUUGCAGUUGAGGUUCUGUUCCUUUUUCUUGGAAUAGGCUCUGGUUUUGGCUAAGACUUAUCUGUUGCUUGUUCA
RNAcentral lists this long non-coding RNA (379 nucleotides) under Bos taurus (domestic cattle). RNAcentral describes it as "long non-coding RNA NONBTAT015948". Lineage: Eukaryota; Metazoa; Chordata; Mammalia; Artiodactyla; Bovidae. The record is from RNAcentral.